UCGAGGAUCUUCGGCAAUGAGCGAAAGCUUGACCGAGCGACGCCGCGUGCGGGAUGAAGGCCUUCGGGUUGUAAACCGCUUUCGUAGGGGAGGAAAUUUCGGUGGGAUCACUCAUCGAUUUGACCUAGCCUAGGAAGAAGGACGGGCUAAGUUCGUGCCAGCAGCCGCGGUAAUACGAACCGUCCAAACGCUAUUCGGCAUUACUGGUCUUAAAGGGUGCGUAGGCGGCCCGGGAAGUUGGGUGUGAAAGCCCUCGGCUCAACCGAGGAACUGCUGCCAAAACUGCCGGGCUGGAGGGAGAUAGAGGUGAGCGGAACUUAGGGUGGAGCGGUGAAAUGCGUUGAUAUCCUAAGGAACACCGGUGGCGAAAGCGGCUCACUGGGUCUCUUCUGACGCUGAGGCACGAAAGCUAGGGUAGCGAACGG
This 425-nucleotide ribosomal RNA is filed under the name uncultured bacterium. Its description in RNAcentral is "bacterial SSU rRNA". It matches the Rfam family "Bacterial small subunit ribosomal RNA", at positions 355 to 775 of the family's 1533-position model. The record is from RNAcentral.